RNAcentral lists this ribosomal RNA (252 nucleotides) under uncultured prokaryote. RNAcentral describes it as "partial 16S ribosomal RNA". It matches the Rfam family "Bacterial small subunit ribosomal RNA", at positions 525 to 777 of the family's 1533-position model. The record is from RNAcentral.
ACGGGGGGGCAAACGUUGUUCGGAAUUACUGGGCGUAAAGGGCUUGUAGGUGGCCAACUAAGUCAGACGUGAAAUCCCUCGGCUUAACCGGGGAACUGCGUCUGAUACUGGAUGGCUUGAGUUUGGGAGAGGGAUGCGGAAUUCCAGGUGUAGCGGUGAAAUGCGUAGAUAUCUGGAGGAACACCGGUGGCGAAGGCGGCAUCCUGGACCAAUACUGACACUGAAAAGCGAAAGCCAGGGGAGCAAACGGGA